RNA transcript from Vicia villosa (hairy vetch), 3734 nucleotides. RefSeq lists it as uncharacterized. The record is from RefSeq and is a predicted model, not a curated record. Lineage: Eukaryota; Viridiplantae; Streptophyta; Magnoliopsida; Fabales; Fabaceae. The transcript has 8 exons.
CUUGCCUUUUAAGAGAAGAAAACCAUCAACUUUUUCUAACAAUAAAGGUAGAUUCAUUGUUAGAACAAUAGUUCCAAGAUGAAGGGAAGAUUCAAAACCAUGUUAGAAUAGUUCUCAUCAAUUUUGAUGACUUGGUCCAAUCUUAAAGUCUCAAAAAAAACAUGACUUUUCAAUCCUCUUCCACAUGUAACAUUCAAAGAAACUCAACAUAGAAAGAAAAAAAACAUCAUAGGAAUCUCAAAAACACAUAAACUACUUUAAACCAAACAUUUUUCCUAUAUUGUUUUUAUAUUUUAUUUCACUAUUUCUGUUAAAUGGCCAUCCUUAAAAUUAGCAAAAAACACCACAAGCGUUUCAACAACCCUUUCCCUUCAGCUCCAACCACCAUCCCCAACGUUCAAGGCUCUCUAUUCAUCAAUUCCAAAUCUCUCUCUUCACAAGAUCAAACCUUUUCAAUUGGCAAUGAUUUUCAACUCUCUUGGUCCAUCAUCAAUGGCGGGCAUCUCUCAAUUUCACAUCUUUCUCAGAAAGACAGACCUGUCUGGUCUACAAUCUCAGGUAAGGCUUUUGUUUCAGCUGCAGUGGUUGACACUGAGAUUGAAGAAAGUAGAGGAUCGUUUCUUGUUAAAGACAGAGAUGUUCAUUUGAUCUGUAAUCACCAAACCAUUGAUGAGAUUAGGAUGAUUGAUCAAUGUGGAGUUUCAGUUGCGGAUUUUACUUUGACAGAAGAGAUGAAGUUUCCUAGUUUGUUGAUCACUGGAAGGCUUUUUAAUAUGAGUAAGAAGAAUAAAAGGUUUGAAAAGUAUGGAAUUGAAGGGAAUAUACAGUUUGAAUCAAAAGGGCCAUUUGUGUAUGCGAGGUAUUGGGUUUUGUUUAAUCAGAAAAACAAGCAUGAGGUUGGAUUUCAAGUGAAGAUUGAGAAACUGAAUUUCGGUUCGAGUGAUAAGGUUUCUUCAGAAGGCUCUGGAGUUUACAAGGGUUUUAAGAAGAGGUUGAGUAGUAGGAAAAAGAGGUUGGGCUGGUUUUGGUACCUUUCAAGGCCUAGAGGGUUUGUUUUGGUUUCUUCUGUGGAGGAUGAAAGUGGAGAAAUGGAAAUAUCGAAACCGAAAGAAUUUAAUAGGAUUUGGUUGAGUUAUGCUAGUGAUGAAAAUGAGAGGUUUUAUGGUUUUGGAGAACAGUUUUCUCACAUGAAUUUUAAGGGGAAAAGAGUGCCUAUCUUAGUUCAAGAACAAGGUAUUGGAAGAGGAGAUCAACCUAUCACUUGUGCUGCUAACUUGAUCAGUUACAGGGCAGGAGGUGAUUGGAGUACAACAUAUGCUCCUUCUCCAUUCUACAUGACUUCAAAAAUGAGGUCUCUUUAUCUUGAGGGAUAUGAUUAUACCAUCUUCGAUCUUACUAAACUCGACAGAGUACAGAUACAGAUAUAUGGAAACUCGGUUGAAGGACGGAUAUUGCAUGGGAACACACCUUGUGAGCUGAUUGAACAUUUCACUGAAACCAUUGGAAGGUUACCAGAGCUUCCAGAGUGGAUCAUAUCUGGUGCUGUAGUUGGAAUGCAGGGUGGCACCGAUUCUGUACGUCGUAUUUGGGAUGAAUUAAGAACUUAUGAUGUUCCUGUCUCAGCAUUUUGGUUACAGGAUUGGGUAGGACAAAGAGAAACCAUGAUUGGCUCACAACUUUGGUGGAAUUGGGAAGUAGAUGAACAAAGAUAUUGGGGUUGGAAGGAACUUAUCAAAGAUUUUAGCACUCAAAAUAUAAAAGUUAUGACAUAUUGCAAUCCCUGUCUAGCGCCGGUUGAUGACAAGGAUAACAAAAAGAGAAACCUUUUUGAGGAGGCAAAACAGUUGGACAUAUUGGUGAAAGACGGUAACGGAAAUCCAUAUAUGGUUCCAAAUACCGCCUUUGAUGUGGCAAUGCUAGAUCUAACUCACCCGAAAACUGUAACUUGGUUCAAGCAGAUUCUACUUGAAAUGGUUGACGAUGGAGUUAGAGGAUGGAUGGCUGAUUUUGGCGAAGGCCUUCCCGUUGAUGCGGUUCUAUAUUCAGGCGAAGAUCCUAUUUCAGCUCAUAACAGAUAUCCAGAACUAUGGGCCAAAAUCAACAGAGAGAUUGUGGAAGAAUGGAAAAGCAAGUCCUUAGACAAUUUGAACGAAAACCGAGAUGAUGGUUUGGUUUUCUUCAUGAGAGCUGGUUUUAAAGAUAGCCCUAAAUGGGGGAUGCUGUUUUGGGCAGGUGAUCAGAUGGUGAGUUGGCAAGCAAAUGACGGAAUAAAGAGUUCCGUUGUUGGUCUACUUAGCAGCGGAAUAUCCGGCUAUGCCUUUAAUCACAGUGACAUCGGAGGAUAUUGUACGGUAAACUUACCUAUAGUUAAAUACAGAAGAAGUCAAGAAUUGCUUCUGCGUUGGAUGGAGCUUAAUUCUUUCACCACCGUCUUCCGCACUCAUGAAGGAAACAAACCAUCAUGCAACAGCCAGUUUUACUCAAACCAACAAACUCUAUCACACUUUGCACGCACCGCAAAAAUAUACACAGCGUGGAAAUUUUACAGAAUUCAACUAGUGAAGGAAGCGGCGCAGAAAGGAUUACCUGUAUGUCGUCACCUAUUUCUCCAUUACCCUAAUGAUGAACAUGUGCAUAACUUGAGUUAUCAACAAUUCUUGGUUGGUUCUGAGUUUCUAGUGGUGCCAGUUCUUGACAAAGGAAAGAAGAAAGUUAAAGCUUAUUUUCCAUUGGGAGAGAGUAGUAGUUGGACACAUAUAUGGACAGGAAAAGUGUUUUCGAAACAAGGAAGUGAAUCAUGGAUAGAAGCUCCAAUAGGUUAUCCUUGCGUGUUUGUUAAGGUUGGUUCUGUUAUUGGUGAAACCUUUCUGAAUAACCUGAAAAAUUUAGACAUUCAUUGAAGAAGGAUGAAUCUCAACCAACGGAGUUAUAUCUAGCGGAAUGGGAUAGACUCUCGCAAGGUGGCGAACCAAAGGUUGAGUCGAGGUGCAUGCAUUUAGAGCCCGACAUUGUGGCCUCGAAUAGGAGAUUACCUCCGGUGGAAGGAACUUGUGAGAAACAAAAAAGAAUGAAUCUUAGAUAAGUAACAUAGUUUGUAAGUUUUAACAACUUUUGGGCAAGAUGGAAUGAGAAGAAUGAUCAAAACAAGCUUGCAAUGAGGGUGGAAUGCAAAAAGAAGAAGAUUUGUGCAAGGAGGUCCGCUCAGCGGAGCUGAAGCGGACCCAGGCAGGGAUGCAGCAAUUUUUUUCAUCAGCAAGUCCGCUCAGCGGAGCUGAAGCGGACAUGGGCAGAGACGAGCAGAAAAUUUACCUCCGCUCAGCGGACCUUGAAGACAAAUCAGAUAUUUUUACUGCUCCGCUCAGCGGACCUGCUCCGCUCAGCGGACCUACUUUUUCAACUUUUGUUCUUAGCCACAUAAAAUUGAUGAUUAAGAGUGGUUAGCUUAGUUCUUAUGAUAACACACACUUGGGAGAAAAGUUAGGGCAAGAGAAGAAGAGAAAAACCAUUUUUCUUAAAAGAAAAUCAAGAUUUCCAAACAUCUUUCUUUGAUCUUCUUGAGUUUGAUGUCACUAAAUCUUGGUUUGUUGCUUGUUGUUGAAGCUUCCAUGGAUAUGGAGGGCUAAGUUUCAUCUUGUGUCAAGAUUAGAGGUAGUUAGUUUGUAAAUAUGUACUUUCUUUGAUCUAUUAUGUAUGAACUUGGUUAAUGAUUAAUACAUGGUGAAUAUCUUGUUAUU